UACCCAUGAUGAGGACACAUACUCAACAGCUCCUUAAAUCUCUCCCAAGACUACAAAGUCUCACUGUCCUUUUGUGUAAAGGUGGAGAUUUGUCUUUUUAAUGCA
This is a small nucleolar RNA of Juglans microcarpa x Juglans regia, 105 nucleotides long. The record is from RefSeq and is a predicted model, not a curated record. Lineage: Eukaryota; Viridiplantae; Streptophyta; Magnoliopsida; Fagales; Juglandaceae.